This is a long non-coding RNA of Acanthochromis polyacanthus (spiny chromis), 1717 nucleotides long. RefSeq lists it as uncharacterized. The record is from RefSeq and is a predicted model, not a curated record. The transcript is spliced from 2 exons. NCBI's taxonomy places the organism in Eukaryota, Metazoa, Chordata, Actinopteri, Pomacentridae.
AUCAAAAAUGGAUAUACGAAUUUUAAAAAAUGCUUUGAUUUUCAUUUUUUAUUUACAAAAACAAAAAAUAAAAUAAGUCAGAGACAGAAACGAAAAAAGAACCGUUUUUCAUUUUCUGCGACCGGAAGUGGUCAUCAGCAAGGGUGGUCAGAUUGAAUCAGAGCCGAGGACUCUCUGUCCCGCCCACAUUUACCGGCUUCUGCUGUUUAUGGACGCUGCUACCGCUGCUGCUAACAACGUUAGCUUCCAAAAGUGGAGAUAAACUCUACAGCCUUGGUCUGGAUCAUUGGGAACAUCUGAUCUGAUGGACUGAGAGCUACAGAGAACACCAACAUCCAGCUGUGGUUGUCUGAACAGUCUUCUCUCCAUCACUGUGAGGAAGAGCAGCACUGAUGUCCUCCUCAUCCUUCCAUUAAGAACAAUGAUGCUGCAGAUUAAGCUCCUCUCUUCAUAAUAUUUGUCUUGUGACUGUUCAGUUUUUACACUUCACUGUCAGCAACACAUUAUUUAUUUCAUCCAUUUAUUACGUGUUUACACAUCUUUACAGUUCACAAUUGUUAAAUAAUGCAGUUUUUAAAUGUGCAAUGAAGGAAAUAAUGAAGCUCUUGAGCUGAAUGUGUUGAUGUUUUAAUGCUGCAUAUCUGCUAUAAAUAACAUUGUACAGGGUUUCUGCAGAUAUCAACCAGUCAAAUUUAAUGCUAUACUGUAAAAAAUGUAAUGCCACGACCAUGAACUCAAAUUACACGGGUUUGUUUUUUUUUGUAAAAGAUUAUUUUUAUAUGAAAACCCUACAUUUGACUAUUUCUGAAUCUGGGAACCACCCCUGAACACCAACGGGCUGCAGUCAUUCUCUGAAAUCCACGUUUUUCAGCCAUUUUUGCUGGAAUUUGUGUUUCCCCAUUUCCCAGCCUGGUCCAGCCUGUCAGCCACUUUAAAAACAUGCAGUUUUUAGAAAUUGUACCCACCCGGCUGGAACAAUUAUCUCAAUGCUUCGGCAUGUUUACGCAGAUGCACAUACCUGACAAAUCGCAGUCUAUAAAUAUAUUAUUGUCAAUUAUUUUCUUGAAAACUGCAGAAAGAAAUUUUAAUGCUACCGAGAAUCAAAUUUAAUGAUUUUUAAUGCCAUUUAAGGCCUUAAUUUCUGCAAAAUCAACUUAAUGACUAUUAAUGUUCUGCAGAAACCCUGUUGUAUUUCUGCUACAGCAGCAGAGAUGAAGUUAAAAGUGAUAAAUAGAAUCUGUGAAUACUAAGAACAGAGAAUAAUAAACUGCUGAAAGAGUUGGUCUGUCCUUCUGUCAGUGAAAGCUAAACAGGAAGUGGUUCACUGAGGAUGUCGUCCAUUCAGUCUCCUUCUUCACAACCAGAUGAGGUUUUCCUUCUGUUGGCUUCACUCAGAAGAUCCUCACAGUGAACAUGAGACACCUGAGAUGAAGAGAGAUGUCACAGUAUCAGCAUCAACAGCAGAGGUUCAUUUUAAAGUAUCCCUGGAAAGAUUUCCUAUUUCAUAUAGUUUUCCAAGCACUGAACGACAGAAAGACCUGUAGUCACUUUAGCUUUAGGAGAGGAUUUUAUUAUCCAGCUUAUCUGUGCUGCAGUUUAAAUGUAUUAACUGUAGUGUUCAUCAUUAUUUUGGACAUAUUCUGGGAGGUUAUUUUUCUAAUCUGCACUAAGAUGUACUACAACAUGUGAAUCAGUCAUUAAACAAUGUUAACGACUA